RNAcentral lists this transfer RNA (74 nucleotides) under Perkinsus olseni. RNAcentral's name for it is "tRNA-Ser". Lineage: Eukaryota; Perkinsozoa; Perkinsida; Perkinsidae. The record is from RNAcentral.
GGUCGUUUAGCUCAGGAGGUUCCCGCUGAGUGCGCAGCAAGUUUGGGUCGCAGGUUCGAGCCCUGCAUCGACCA